AAAUUUUCUGGCUUCAUAUAUAUACAACAGUUGAGUCUUCCUUUUGUAUAGCACUGAAUGUCGGUUUUCGUUUACUCUUUCACUGCUAAACUCCAUCUCCCUCACAAUCUCUCUUCUUCUUCCUCAUAUUUCCCUUCUAGAAUCUUCUUUCGCUUUCAAUCUCGUUCCCUCACAUACAGUACCUCGCUAUUCUCUUCACUCAUGCCAAACAAUCAGAGAAAGGGUGGUUAUAAAGAAAAAAAAUGGCAAGUGAGGACAAGUUCCAAUAGGGUACCAGGUUCGUCUUCAAAUGUCGAACCUGCAUCUCCUGCAUCUCCUGCAUCUCCUGGAGCCAUUGCUGACCGUCUAAAUUCCUUGA
Molecule: unclassified non-coding RNA, 358 nt
Filed under: Hevea brasiliensis (rubber tree)
Lineage: Eukaryota; Viridiplantae; Streptophyta; Magnoliopsida; Malpighiales; Euphorbiaceae
Source: RNAcentral